AUUGAACGCUGGCGGCAGGCUUAACACAUGCAAGUCGAGCGGGGUGAUGGUGCUUGCACUAUCACUUAGCGGCGGACGGGUGAGUAAUGCUUAGGAAUCUGCCUAUUAGUGGGGGACAACAUCUCGAAAGGGAUGCUAAUACCGCAUACGUCCUACGGGAGAAAGCAGGGGAUCACUUGUGACCUUGCGCUAAUAGAUGAGCCUAAGUCGGAUAGCUAGUUGGUGGGGUAAAGGCCUACCAAGGCGACGAUCUGUAGCGGGUCUGAGAGGAUGAUUCGCCACACUGGGACUGAGACACGGCCCAGACUCCUACGGGAGGCAGCAAUGGGGAAUAUUGGACAAUGGGGGGAACCCUGAUCCAGCCAUGCCGCGUGUGUGAAGAAGGCCUUAUGGUUGUAAAGCACUUUAAGCGAGGAGGAGGCUCUUUUGGUUAAUACCCAAGAUGAGUGGACGUUACUCGCAGAAUAAGCACCGGCUAACUCUGUGCCAGCCGCCGCGGUAA
RNAcentral lists this ribosomal RNA (502 nucleotides) under uncultured bacterium. Its description in RNAcentral is "partial 16S ribosomal RNA". It matches the Rfam family "Bacterial small subunit ribosomal RNA", at positions 30 to 523 of the family's 1533-position model. The record is from RNAcentral.